UGCAGCCAGCGCGGCCCCACGGCCCCCCCGCCGCUGCGCCGUCCCCUCCCCGGGCGGGAGGCGGCUCCGGGCCCGGCCCGGGGGGAGGAACUACAAGUCCCGUGGAGCCGCGCCGCCGCCGCCGCCGCUAUAUAAGGGGGGAAAUGGCCCGGCCGCCGCAGUGGGAGCAUCCUCGGCACCUGGGGCCGGUGGCCGCGGCUUUCCGCCGUGCUCCCCGCCCGCUGCGGGCUCCGGCCCGGCUGCCGGGAGCGGCGCGGCGCCUCCCCCGCUGCCGCCGGGGCCGCUGAGCCGCUUCCCCGGCGCGGAGCCGCCGUGCGGGGCCGGUCCCCGGAGGAGGAGGAGGAGGAGGAGGAUGCCGGAGCCCGCGGGGACGACGCAGCGCGGCCGGAGGGAGGUGUGGUGGGCUGGUGGAGAGGAGAAAAACAACAACCCGGGGGCUGGUCUCCAGGAGGAACGUUAGGCACUGGAGACCUUGUGACUCCCUCCGUGUGUGGCCCGACUGGACGUGCCGUUCGCCCUCCCGGUGUCGGAGCGAGCCAGGUCUUGGGUAAGCAGAUGACGCCUCACUGGGGAGCAUGCGGUUUGUGGGAGG
Molecule: long non-coding RNA, 592 nt
Filed under: Dromaius novaehollandiae (emu)
Lineage: Eukaryota; Metazoa; Chordata; Aves; Casuariiformes; Dromaiidae
Description: lncRNA (ENSDNVG00000008321.1)
Source: RNAcentral